Molecule: ribosomal RNA, 253 nt
Filed under: uncultured prokaryote
Description: partial 16S ribosomal RNA
Rfam family: Bacterial small subunit ribosomal RNA
Source: RNAcentral
ACGUAGGGCGCAAGCGUUAUCCGGAUUUAUUGGGCGUAAAGAGCUCGUAGGCGGUUUGUCGCGUCUAUCGUGAAAGUCCGAGGCCCAACCUCGGAUCUGCGGUGGGUACGGGCAGACUAGAGUGAUGUAGGGGAGACUGGAAUUCAUGGUGUAGCAGUGAAAUGCGUAGAGAUCAUGAGGAAGACCAGUGGCGAAGGCGGGUCUCUGGACCAUAACUGACGCUGAGGCACGAAAGCUAGGGGAGCAAACAGGA